CUGCCUGCCCAGUGACACACGUUUAACGGCCGCGGUACCCUGACCGUGCAAAGGUAGCAUAAUCACUUGUUCUUUAAAUAGGGACUCGUAUGAAUGGCAUCACGAGGGUUUAACUGUCUCUUACUUUUAACCAGUGAAAUUGACCUGUCCGUGAAGAGACGGACAUGAAACAAUAAGACGAGAAGACCCUGUGGAGCUUCAAUUUACCAGUACAACUAAAGACUACACAGACCCAUUGGUUCCUAAACUCCCAUACCUGUGCUGAAAAUUUUGGUUGGGGCGACCUCGGAGCACAACCAAACCUCCGAAGAAUCCAUGCUAAGACUACACAAGCCUAAGCAAACUAAUCCCUACAAUUGACCCAAUAAUUUGAUCAACGGAACAAGUUACCCCAGGGAUAACAGCGCAAUUCUAUUCUAGAGUCCAUAUCGACAAUAGAGUUUACGACCUCGAUGUUGGAUCAGGACAUCCUAAUGGUGCAGCAGCUGUCAAG
RNAcentral lists this ribosomal RNA (493 nucleotides) under Cercopithecus sp. Y36. RNAcentral describes it as "partial 16S large subunit ribosomal RNA". It matches the Rfam family "Bacterial large subunit ribosomal RNA", at positions 1854 to 2569 of the family's 2925-position model. The record is from RNAcentral. Lineage: Eukaryota; Metazoa; Chordata; Mammalia; Primates; Cercopithecidae.